This is a small nucleolar RNA of Ornithorhynchus anatinus (platypus), 138 nucleotides long. NCBI's taxonomy places the organism in Eukaryota, Metazoa, Chordata, Mammalia, Monotremata, Ornithorhynchidae. The record is from RefSeq and is a predicted model, not a curated record.
CCCCUCUCAGGAUCGCAACUGGAGAGUUUCCAGUAUUCUACCAGUCUCGAUUAUGGGUGGAGAAGUCAAGCAGAGGCAUAACCAUACCAUUCCUAGCUUGGCCAGUGGCUAGCAAGUGGAAGGCAAUCUGCUACAAGU